This is a long non-coding RNA of Oncorhynchus tshawytscha (Chinook salmon), 437 nucleotides long. The record is from Ensembl. NCBI's taxonomy places the organism in Eukaryota, Metazoa, Chordata, Actinopteri, Salmoniformes, Salmonidae.
UCUCACUGCAGUGUUAGACUGGAGGUUAUCCUGGGAUCUCACUGCAGUGUUAGACUGGAGGUUAUGCUGGGAUCUCACUGCAGUGUUAGACUGGAGGUUAUCCUGGGAUCUCACUGCAGUGUUAGACUGGAGGUUAUCCUGGGGGCCCAGGGGUGGGAUCUCUCUGUUCCACACCCAUCCAGGUAUUUACAGUGUGGGUUAAAGAUGAACUAGAAGACAGGGUUAGCCGGAGGGUCCUUUAAAUGGCAUAUUAGUUAAUAAUCUCUUAAAUGCUGGAGAUUGAAAACUACCUGACAGAAUGGUAACAGAAAGAAUGAUUAGUGGUGAAAGGUUACAAAAUAGAGACUAGCUUUACACUGACAUAGAGACUAGCAUUACACUGACAUAGAGACUGACAUAGAGACACUUUACACUGACAUAGAGACUGACAUAGAGAC